This 309-nucleotide unclassified non-coding RNA is filed under the name Hevea brasiliensis (rubber tree). Lineage: Eukaryota; Viridiplantae; Streptophyta; Magnoliopsida; Malpighiales; Euphorbiaceae. The record is from RNAcentral.
GGUUUUUUUUUUUAUUCCUUCCAAUUUUUCAUUUCAGCCACUUCUGCCCCACAGACAAAAGGUACCCCUGGCCAUUAAUCAUUCGCUUCAAGCCUGUGGACUUGGGCAAAUUAGCUUAGAACUGUGGGAUUGGAUUGGAACCUGCAAAUUCCUCGAGUCAAUGGCCAUACUUUUCUUCUAUUUUUCAUUUUUAUUAUACAACUUUUUUAUUGAAUUUUAAUUUUAUCUCAUACUGGAUAUCUCAAAAAUGACUUUAUAUUAGUGAAUUAAAGUUUUAUUUGUUUUAUAAAAAAUAUUUUUUAUAAUUUU